AUACGUAGGGUGCGAGCGUUGUCCGGAAUUACUGGGCGUAAAGAGCUCGUAGGUGGUUUGUCGCGUCGUCUGUGAAAUUCCGGGGCUUAACUCCGGGCGUGCAGGCGAUACGGGCAUAACUUGAGUACUGUAGGGGAGACUGGAAUUCCUGGUGUAGCGGUGAAAUGCGCAGAUAUCAGGAGGAACACCGGUGGCGAAGGCGGGUCUCUGGGCAGAAACUGACGCUGAGGAGCGAAAGCAUGGGUAGCGAAAAGGAUUAGAUACCCUGGUAGUCCAUGCCGUAAACGGUGGGCGCUAGGUGUAGGGGUCUUCCACGACUUCUGUGCCGUAGCUAACGCAUUAAGCGCCCCGCCUGGGGAGUACGGCCGCAAGGCUAAAACUCAAAUGAAUUGACGGGG
RNAcentral lists this ribosomal RNA (398 nucleotides) under uncultured bacterium. RNAcentral describes it as "partial 16S ribosomal RNA". It matches the Rfam family "Bacterial small subunit ribosomal RNA", at positions 523 to 918 of the family's 1533-position model. The record is from RNAcentral.